This 253-nucleotide ribosomal RNA is filed under the name uncultured bacterium. RNAcentral describes it as "partial 16S ribosomal RNA". It matches the Rfam family "Bacterial small subunit ribosomal RNA", at positions 524 to 776 of the family's 1533-position model. The record is from RNAcentral.
UACAGAGGGUGCAAGCGUUGCUCGGAAUUAUUGGGCGUAAAGGGUAGGUAGGUGGUCUCAUUUGUCUGGGGUGAAAGCCUUGAGCUUAACUCAAGAAGUGCCCCAGAAACGGUGAGACUAGAGUACUGGAGAGGGUCGUGGAAUUCCCGGUGUAGCGGUGAAAUGCGUAGAGAUCGGGAGGAACACCAGAGGCGAAGGCGGCGACCUGGACAGUAACUGACACUCAACUACGAAAGCGUGGGGAGCAAACAGG